AUGGAGAAACACCUGCUGCUGAUUUUAAUUCUGACUUCAGAUGCAACGUAUGGAAAUGAAAUUAAACCUACCAAAAUUUUGGAGUUUGCUGAGGAGGGUUCAAGUGUUACAUUAUCCUGCAGUUAUUCAUCUGCAUACAAUCUUCACUGGUACCGUCAGUAUCCUGGAUCAGCUCCUCAGUUCAUAGUGCUCAUCUCAGACAAAUCAAAAAAUUAUCAGGAGUCUAAUGUAGAUUCCAGAUUCAACGCAAAAGUCACUAAAGACAAUAAAGAAAACCAUGUGGAUCUGAAGAUCUCCUCUGCAUCUGUAUCAGACUCUGCUGUGUACUACUGUGUGAUGGCUGCAGACCAGAUUGUGCCAAAAAAGGGUGCAAAUGUCAAUGAGAAGGAGGGUCUGUGA
Molecule: non-coding RNA, 399 nt
Organism: Carassius gibelio (silver crucian carp)
Lineage: Eukaryota; Metazoa; Chordata; Actinopteri; Cypriniformes; Cyprinidae
Source: the annotation of a RefSeq genome assembly